GAGAAGCGCCGCCCCGGACGGACGGCGAUGGCGCAUCGCCAAAUGUGUCAUUUUAGUUGUCUUCACGAACCAGAGGGCCCACGACGGACGGGCGGCCACGCCCACCUCAACCAGAAUAUCCUUCCUUCUCCCACCCACCCUUG
Non-coding RNA from Caenorhabditis elegans, 143 nucleotides. The record is from Ensembl. Lineage: Eukaryota; Metazoa; Nematoda; Chromadorea; Rhabditida; Rhabditidae.